CUAUCAGCUCUAAUAGACCUGUUAAACAGAACACUUGAACAAUUCUCCUCCAAAUACCAGCUCUGCAAAUGAACCAAACCACACUCUGACAUUUCCUAGGCUUUCCUGUCACAGUCUGACAUUUACGCCUCUGACUACGGCCGCCAGUCUCUGCCCAGCAAUCUUGUUAUGUGUAACAGCUGGAUAAGAGAGUCGCCAGACAGAAGGCAUCAGAUUUGUUCCCACCGUGCUUUUGAUGAACUGCACGCAGGGUCUUGAAGAUAGAGCGGGGGCUAAGGCUGGUGUGUAGGUCAGACUCAUGGACACUCAGCGCGGCACAGAGUGAUGGAGGCGGUUGCUAUGGAGACCAAAGUGGGCGAGUGUGCAAUUUUGUUGUGCUGAUAUUUGGAUGUCCUUCAUAUCUAGCAUCUCAUAAACGUGUUUUUCCAAACAGCAGAGGCUGUCUGAGUGACUGAAGUCCAGGUCUCAGAGAGUUUUCUUUACACCCAGUCUAAUCCAGUCUGGAUUGUGAAUUAAAUAAAACUAGUAGCUGGUGGUGUGUCGUGCAUCCUACACUAUUCCUAAACCAUUAUUCAGCCACACCCAGUACUCAUAGACUCUAUCGUAGCUUGUCAUUUAUAAAUAAACAAAUCUGGGUAUUUCAAAUGAAACUAGAAAAACACUCGGAGAGCGCAGACCUCUGCCAAGCAGCUCAUGUCCCCCUCAUAUUGUGAUUCACACCAAAACUUUUACUGUUGCGUGUCUUUUAUUAACUUUUAUUUGUGUUUAAACUGGUAUGUUCACUGUUCAUAAUGUUCCUAAAAUAAGAAAUGCCCUGACCCGGAUUGGAACCC
Non-coding RNA from Xyrichtys novacula (pearly razorfish), 833 nucleotides. The record is from the annotation of a GenBank genome assembly. Lineage: Eukaryota; Metazoa; Chordata; Actinopteri; Labriformes; Labridae.